GUAGGGAAUAUUGGACAAUGGGGGCAACCCUGAUCCAGCCAUGCCGCGUGUGUGAAGAAGGCCUUUUGGUUGUAAAGCACUUUAAGCGAGGAGGAGGCUCUUCUAGUUAAUACCUAGGAUGAGUGGACGUUACUCGCAGAAUAAGCACCGGCUAACUCUGUGCCAGCAGCCGCGGUAAUACAGAGGGUGCGAGCGUUAAUCGGAUUUACUGGGCGUAAAGCGUACGUAGGCGGCUUUUUAAGUCGGAUGUGAAAUCCCUGAGCUUAACUUAGGAAUUGCAUUCGAUACUGGGAAGCUAGAGUAUGGGAGAGGAUGGUAGAAUUCCAGGUGUAGCGGUGAAAUGCGUAGAGAUCUGGAGGAAUACCGAUGGCGAAGGCAGCCAUCUGGCCUAAUACUGACGCUGAGGUACGAAAGCAUGGGGAGCAAACAGGAUUAGAUACCCUGGUAGUCC
Molecule: ribosomal RNA, 451 nt
Filed under: uncultured bacterium
Lineage: Bacteria
Description: partial 16S ribosomal RNA
Rfam family: Bacterial small subunit ribosomal RNA
Source: RNAcentral